Danionella cerebrum is the source of this 70-nucleotide non-coding RNA. The record is from the annotation of a GenBank genome assembly. NCBI's taxonomy places the organism in Eukaryota, Metazoa, Chordata, Actinopteri, Cypriniformes, Danionidae.
GUACGAUAGUAUAGUGGUAACACUGACGCCCUUCAUGUGGGAGACCAGGGUUCGAUUCCCAGUCAGGGCA